AGAGUUUGAUCAUGGCUCAGAGCGAACGCUGGCGGCAGGCCUAACACAUGCAAGUCGAACGGACCCUUCGGGGUUAGUGGCGGACGGGUGAGUAACACGUGGGAACGUGCCUUUAGGUUCGGAAUAGCUCCUGGAAACGGGUGGUAAUGCCGAAUGUGCCCUUCGGGGGAAAGAUUUAUCGCCUUUAGAGCGGCCCGCGUCUGAUUAGCUUGUUGGUGAGGUAAUGGCUCACCAAGGCUACGAUCAGUAGCUGGUCUGAGAGGAUGACCAGCCACAUUGGGACUGAGACACGGCCCAAACUCCUACGGGAGGCAGCAGUGGGGAAUCUUGCGCAAUGGGCGAAAGCCUGACGCAGCCAUGCCGCGUGUAUGAUGAAGGUCUUAGGAUUGUAAAAUACUUUCACCGGUGAAGAUAAUGACUGUAGCCGGAGAAGAAGCCCCGGCUAACUUCGUGCCAGCAGCCGCGGUAAUACGAAGGGGGCUAGCGUUGCUCGGAAUUACUGGGCGUAAAGGGAGCGUAGGCGGACAUUUAAGUCAGAGGUGAAAUCCCGGAGCUUAACUUCGGAACUGCCUUUGAUACUGGAUGUCUUGAGUGUGAGAGAGGUAUGUGGAACUCCGAGUGUAGAGGUGAAAUUCGUAGAUAUUCGGAAGAACACCAGUGGCGAAGGCGACAUACUGGCUCAUUACUGACGCUGAGGCUCGAAAGCGUGGGAGCAAACAGGAUUAGAUACCCUGGUAGUCCACGCCGUAAACGAUGAUUGCUAGUUGUCGGGGAGUUUACUUCUCGGUGACGCAGCUAAC
This 800-nucleotide ribosomal RNA is filed under the name uncultured bacterium. RNAcentral describes it as "bacterial SSU rRNA". It matches the Rfam family "Bacterial small subunit ribosomal RNA", at positions 8 to 856 of the family's 1533-position model. The record is from RNAcentral.